RNAcentral lists this ribosomal RNA (1416 nucleotides) under Triticum aestivum (bread wheat). Its description in RNAcentral is "partial small subunit ribosomal RNA". The record is from RNAcentral. Lineage: Eukaryota; Viridiplantae; Streptophyta; Magnoliopsida; Poales; Poaceae.
AUGCUAGAGAAAUUGUUAGUGCAAAAGCAGGAUAAUUCUUCAGAUUACAGCCUACACUCUGGGAUUAUGAGAUUCAAGGGUAAACUAUGGGUGGGCAAGUCUGCAGAGCUGAGAAAUAAACUACUGUCUGCACUACACAAUUCCUCCAUUGGAGGCCACUCAGGAGUGAGAGCUACAUAUAACAGAGUGAAGAACAUUUUUUUCUGGCCAGGACUGAAACAUGAUGUAGAAACUUUUGUUGCAGCUUGCCCUAUUUGCCAAAGAGCAAAACAUGAGAACUGCUUGCAACCUGGCCUGCUGGACCCCCUUCCUGUUGCAGACAUGGCUUGGCAACACAUCUCACUGGACUUUGUGGAAGGCCUACCAAAAUCCCAGGGCAAGGAUGUUAUUAUGGUUGUGGUCGAUAGAUUCACGAAGUACAGCCAUUUCAUUCCCCUGUCUCACCCAUAUUCAGUUCUCUGGGUGGCCCAAAAGUUUGUUGACAACAUCAUAAGACUACAUGGCCCUCCUAAACUUAUUGUCUCUGAUAGAGAUAGAAUUUUCACGAGCAAAUUGUGGAAGGACAUUUUUACAGCACUUAAGGUGGAACUAAGGUUUAGCACAGCCUAUCAUCCGCAAACUGAUGGCCAGAUAGAGCGGGUGAACCAGUGUUUAGAAACUUAUCUGCGAUGUAUGACAACUGAUCAACCUACCAAGUGGAUGUCAUGGCUGUCUCUAGCAGAAUAUUGGUAUAAUUCCACUUACCACACUGCUCUGAAAAUGUCUCCAUUCCAAGCCCUUUAUGGAUUUCCACCUCCACUCAUAUCUGAAUUAGAGAUACCUGGACCAGAAGAUGAGGAAGCACAAGAUUUCUUGACUGCUAAACAGCAAAUGUUAGAGCAUUUGAAAGAGAAUUUGUGCACAGCCCAGAACAGAAUGAAGCGUUAUGCAGACCUCAAACGAGUGGAGAGACGUUUCCAGGUUGGGGACAUGGUCUACUUGAAGAUGGCACCUUAUCGAUUAGCAGCAUUUGGCUUUCGCGGAACUCUGAAGUUGCAGAACAAGUAUUAUGGCCCUUUUCUCAUAAUCCAAAAGAUAGGGAACUCUGCUUACAAAUUGCAAUUCCCUGGCAAGGUUCAGAUACACCCUGUCUUCCAUGUCAGCCAGCUCAAGAAACACAUUGGGACAAAAGCGAUUCCGAGCCCCAACCUUCCAAUGGUCAAUGCUGAUGGUACGAUCAAAACGGGUCCAGCCGCAGUUCUACAGGUCAGGCAAAUCCCACGCAACAAUGCCCCUGUGGUACAGUGGCAAAUUCAAUGGGAAAAUCUGUCACCGGAGGACGCUACGUGGGAAGAUGCAGACUUCAUCAAGUAUUCAUUCCCCGAGUUUUUCAGGCAAACUACACAAGCUUGGCGCGCAGCACAAGAAUCGACGUGA